Molecule: RNA transcript, 1447 nt
Organism: Diospyros lotus (date-plum)
Lineage: Eukaryota; Viridiplantae; Streptophyta; Magnoliopsida; Ericales; Ebenaceae
Exons: 5
Source: RefSeq, a predicted model, not a curated record
CUCAAAACAAAGGGGAUUCUUUUAUGUUAGGGUUCCAAAAUUUUGAAUCCCAGCCUGAAGAAUCUGCAUCCCGACGGAGAAGAAGGAAUUGAAGGAAAUUGUUUAGGGUUUCAAAAUGAUCGAGACACUCGAUCGACCGCUUGUUCCUGAGGAGGGGGGGAUCUCGCCCCGACCAACUAUCCGACGUUGUUUCCCACCCUCCGACGACCAGCGGUCGCCCUGUUCAUUUCCAAUUCUGGCAUCCAACGGAUUUUGCGUUGAAGGAGAUCAACGGAGCAGUUCAAGAAAGCCUGUGGAAAUUUCCUUGCGUCCUCCAUUGGUGGAUCCAAACCCUGCGGUCUGGCUCAAUAGUAGCCUUCGGGGGAUAAUGUCUACCUUACCAAAGGUAUAUGCUUACUUUUCUCCCAUCAAAAUCGGUUGUUUUCUCUUUCUGUUUGUGAGUGUUUUCUCUGUUCAAGUGUUUAUGAAACCUGGCCGGUGUGGCCAGGGAAAAGGAAGAGAAUAUUAUGAAUUUCAUCGAAUGGCCCAUUCCAGCCCAUCAAAGGCCAUAGUUUGCUUCGCCGUUGUCCUGCGCUGGAUGGUAUGGUUUCCUGGUGAAUUUGGCAUCAUCGUUUGUGGUGGUUGUGGUGGACAUCAUAAGUCACAGUGAGGACAGUGAGGACCGCAAAGCCAUAUGAUGUCCUUUUGAAACUCAACUUUGGUGAAGGUUGCAGUUGUGUGUGUACACAAAUCAAGUUCACCGUUGAUUUUCAGAUGAUAUGUUUUACGGGGGACAAAACGAGAGAAGGAACGCGGAAUAUAGAAAUAUAUGAAAGUUGCCAAUAUUGCAUGCACCACAAUUUUUCCUUGGAGAUAGGCAUGGCGCUGUGCAUUGGCACUAAUGGUGGUUUGAAGAAGUCCAGCGGAGUCCCUUCCAACUAUGGGCAACAAAUCCAAGCCAUGCACAUAAGUGCUCAGCGCAGCUGGCUCCAUUUAGGGGAGGAUAAACAGUUGCUUCCCUACACUAUGUUCCUGGUUCAUGUAAAGCUCAUCAGGUGAAAUCUCAAGAGUUGGUAUCUAUCUAACUUUUGGGUGGGGCCAUGAAUGGGAAAUUUGUAUCCAUACUUUAUGCGGGUAGGAAAAUAUGAAAUUUGUAUAAAAUUUAUCUGUAGGUGACUUGACUGAAUUUGGUUUAGAUUAUCACUCCUGUUGUAUAGAAUUUCUCUCUUUCAAAUUGUUCAAAACUGCCGUUUCCCUUUGCUCUUGUUCAGUAAGUAGAAUACGUUUGGUGCCGUUUGAGGUUAUGAUUGUCCUUGUGUCGGGUAGUUGGGAGGGAGUGUGGUGGUUUGGUCUAUUGGUUGCUUUGGGCUGUGGAUUAUUGGCCUUGCUUAGUGUGCGAUUGUUUUGUAAUUGAAGUAGUGGUGUGCAAAAAAAAAUAAAAAAUAAAAAGGUGUUGUAAGUUUCUUUA